Molecule: ribosomal RNA, 399 nt
Filed under: Neoparamoeba sp.
Lineage: Eukaryota; Discosea; Flabellinia; Dactylopodida; Paramoebidae
Description: SSU rRNA
Rfam family: Eukaryotic small subunit ribosomal RNA
Source: RNAcentral
AGUUCAUUCAAUAUCUGCCCUAUCAACUUUCGAUGGUAGUAUAGAGGACUACCAUGGUGGUAACGGGUAACGGAGAAUCAGGGUUUGAUUCCGGAGAAGGAGCCUGAGAAACGGCUACUACUUCCAAGGAAGGCAGCAGGCGCGCAAAUUACCCAAUCCCGACACGGGGAGGUAGUGACAAAAAAUAACAAUACCGGUCUUAUUUAAGUCUGGUAAUUGGAAUGAGUACAAUCUAAAACCUUUAACGAGUAUCAAUUGGAGGGCAAGUCUGGUGCCAGCAGCCGCGGUAAUUCCAGCUCCAAUAGCAUAUAUUAAAGUUGUUGCAGUUAAAAAGCUCGUAGUUGGAUUUUGAUGUUAUUUAUUAUGACCCGCCUUGUAUAAKGUGUGUUUGUUGUGAUA